GAGCCGGAAGUUAAUGAGUGAAGAAAACAACGGUCCUGGGUGAUAUUUGGGUCCUUGGCAUUUCAUGUGAGAGGAAUUUUUAAGCAGGUAAAGUUUGCUUUGCAGAUGACACAUCCACUUUAUGAGAUGAUGCAGUGCAAUGACCUACCCG
This is a small nuclear RNA of Mobula hypostoma (lesser devil ray), 151 nucleotides long. RefSeq annotates it as U12 minor spliceosomal RNA. The transcript has a single exon. NCBI's taxonomy places the organism in Eukaryota, Metazoa, Chordata, Chondrichthyes, Myliobatiformes, Myliobatidae. The record is from RefSeq and is a predicted model, not a curated record.